GAUGAACGCUGGCGGCGUGCCUAAUACAUGCAAGUCGAGCGAACGGACGAGAAGCUUGCUUUUCUGACGUUAGCGGCGGACGGGUGAGUAACACGUGGAUAACCUACCUAUAAGACUGGGAUAACUUCGGGAAACCGGAGCUAAUACCGGAUAAUAUGUUGAACCGCAUGGUUCAAUAGUGAAAGACGGUCUUGCUGUCACUUAUAGAUGGAUCCGCGCUGCAUUAGCUAGUUGGUAAGGUAACGGCUUACUAAGGCAACGAUGCAUAGCCGACCUGAGAGGGUGAUCGGCCACACUGGAACUGAGACACGGUCCAGACUCCUACGGGAGGCAGCAGUAGGGAACCUUCCGCAGUGGGCGAAAGCCUGACGGAGCAACGCCGCGUGAGUGAUGAAGGUCUUCGGAUCGUAAAACUCUGUUAUUAGGGAAGAACAAAUGUGUAAGUAACUAUGCACAUCUUGACGGUACCGAAUCAGAAAGCCACGGCUAACUACGU
This 496-nucleotide ribosomal RNA is filed under the name uncultured bacterium. RNAcentral describes it as "partial 16S ribosomal RNA". It matches the Rfam family "Bacterial small subunit ribosomal RNA", at positions 28 to 506 of the family's 1533-position model. The record is from RNAcentral.